RNAcentral lists this ribosomal RNA (2929 nucleotides) under Bacillus sp. A260. RNAcentral describes it as "23S ribosomal RNA". It matches the Rfam family "Bacterial large subunit ribosomal RNA". Lineage: Bacteria; Bacillati; Bacillota; Bacilli; Caryophanales; Bacillaceae. The record is from RNAcentral.
UUUGGUUAAGUUAGAAAGGGCGCACGGUGGAUGCCUUGACACUAGGAGUCGAUGAAGGACGGGACUAACGCCGAUAUGCUUCGGGGAGCUGUAAGUAAGCUUUGAUCCGAAGAUUUCCGAAUGGGGAAACCCACCAUACGUAAUGGUAUGGUAUCCUUAUCUGAAUACAUAGGGUAAGGAAGACAGACCCAGGGAACUGAAACAUCUAAGUACCUGGAGGAAGAGAAAGCAAAUGCGAUUUCCUGAGUAGCGGCGAGCGAAACGGAACAUAGCCCAAACCAAGAGGCUUGCCUCUUGGGGUUGUAGGACAUUCUAUACGGAGUUACAAAGGAACGAGGUAGACGAAGCGACCUGGAAAGGUCCGUCGUAGAGGGUAACAACCCCGUAGUCGAAACUUCGUUCUCUCUUGAAUGUAUCCUGAGUACGGCGGAACACGUGAAAUUCCGUCGGAAUCUGGGAGGACCAUCUCCCAAGGCUAAAUACUCCCUAGUGAUCGAUAGUGAACCAGUACCGUGAGGGAAAGGUGAAAAGCACCCCGGAAGGGGAGUGAAAGAGAUCCUGAAACCGUGUGCCUACAAAUAGUCAGAGCCCGUUAACGGGUGAUGGCGUGCCUUUUGUAGAAUGAACCGGCGAGUUACGAUCCCGUGCGAGGUUAAGCUGAAGAGGCGGAGCCGCAGCGAAAGCGAGUCUGAAUAGGGCGUUUAGUACGUGGUCGUAGACCCGAAACCAGGUGAUCUACCCAUGUCCAGGGUGAAGUUCAGGUAACACUGAAUGGAGGCCCGAACCCACGCACGUUGAAAAGUGCGGGGAUGAGGUGUGGGUAGCGGAGAAAUUCCAAUCGAACCUGGAGAUAGCUGGUUCUCCCCGAAAUAGCUUUAGGGCUAGCCUUAAGUGUAAGAGUCUUGGAGGUAGAGCACUGAUUGGACUAGGGGUCCUCAUCGGAUUACCGAAUUCAGUCAAACUCCGAAUGCCAAUGACUUAUCCUUAGGAGUCAGACUGCGAGUGAUAAGAUCCGUAGUCAAAAGGGAAACAGCCCAGACCGCCAGCUAAGGUCCCAAAGUGUGUAUUAAGUGGAAAAGGAUGUGGAGUUGCUUAGACAACUAGGAUGUUGGCUUAGAAGCAGCCACCAUUUAAAGAGUGCGUAAUAGCUCACUAGUCGAGUGACUCUGCGCCGAAAAUGUACCGGGGCUAAAUACACCACCGAAGCUGCGGAUUGAUACCAAUGGUAUCAGUGGUAGGGGAGCGUUCUAAGGACAGUGAAGUCAGACCGGAAGGACUGGUGGAGUGCUUAGAAGUGAGAAUGCCGGUAUGAGUAGCGAAAGACGGGUGAGAAUCCCGUCCACCGAAUGCCUAAGGUUUCCUGAGGAAGGCUCGUCCGCUCAGGGUUAGUCAGGACCUAAGCCGAGGCCGACAGGCGUAGGCGAUGGACAACAGGUUGAUAUUCCUGUACCACCUCUUUAUCGUUUGAGCAAUGGAGGGACGCAGAAGGAUAGAAGAAGCGUGCGAUUGGUUGUGCACGUCCAAGCAGUUAGGCUGAUAAGUAGGCAAAUCCGCUUAUCGUAAAGGCUGAGCUGUGAUGGGGAAGCUCCUUAUGGAGCGAAGUCUUUGAUUCCCCGCUGCCAAGAAAAGCUUCUAGUGAGAUAAAAGGUGCCUGUACCGCAAACCGACACAGGUAGGCGAGGAGAGAAUCCUAAGGUGUGCGAGAGAACUCUGGUUAAGGAACUCGGCAAAAUGACCCCGUAACUUCGGGAGAAGGGGUGCUUUCUUAACGGAAAGCCGCAGUGAAUAGGCCCAAGCGACUGUUUAGCAAAAACACAGCUCUCUGCGAAGCCGUAAGGCGAAGUAUAGGGGGUGACACCUGCCCGGUGCUGGAAGGUUAAGGAGAGGGGUUAGCGUAAGCGAAGCUCUGAACUGAAGCCCCAGUAAACGGCGGCCGUAACUAUAACGGUCCUAAGGUAGCGAAAUUCCUUGUCGGGUAAGUUCCGACCCGCACGAAAGGUGUAACGAUUUGGGCACUGUCUCAACCAGAGACUCGGUGAAAUUAUAGUACCUGUGAAGAUGCAGGUUACCCGCGACAGGACGGAAAGACCCCGUGGAGCUUUACUGUAGCCUGAUAUUGAAUUUUGGUACAGUUUGUACAGGAUAGGCGGGAGCCAUUGAAACCGGAGCGCUAGCUUCGGUGGAGGCGCUGGUGGGAUACCGCCCUGACUGUAUUGAAAUUCUAACCUACGGGUCUUAUCGACCCGGGAGACAGUGUCAGGUGGGCAGUUUGACUGGGGCGGUCGCCUCCUAAAGUGUAACGGAGGCGCCCAAAGGUUCCCUCAGAAUGGUUGGAAAUCAUUCGUAGAGUGCAAAGGCAUAAGGGAGCUUGACUGCGAGACCUACAAGUCGAGCAGGGACGAAAGUCGGGCUUAGUGAUCCGGUGGUUCCGCAUGGAAGGGCCAUCGCUCAACGGAUAAAAGCUACCCCGGGGAUAACAGGCUUAUCUCCCCCAAGAGUCCACAUCGACGGGGAGGUUUGGCACCUCGAUGUCGGCUCAUCGCAUCCUGGGGCUGUAGUCGGUCCCAAGGGUUGGGCUGUUCGCCCAUUAAAGCGGUACGCGAGCUGGGUUCAGAACGUCGUGAGACAGUUCGGUCCCUAUCCGUCGUGGGCGUAGGAAAUUUGAGAGGAGCUGUCCUUAGUACGAGAGGACCGGGAUGGACGCACCGCUGGUGUACCAGUUGUUCUGCCAAGGGCAUAGCUGGGUAGCUAUGUGCGGAAGGGAUAAGUGCUGAAAGCAUCUAAGCAUGAAGCCCCCCUCAAGAUGAGAUUUCCCAUAGCGUAAGCUAGUAAGAUCCCUGAAAGAUGAUCAGGUUGAUAGGUUCGAGGUGGAAGCAUGGUGACAUGUGGAGCUGACGAAUACUAAUAGAUCGAGGACUUAACCAUAUAA